RNAcentral lists this unclassified non-coding RNA (244 nucleotides) under Glomeraceae sp. RNAcentral describes it as "partial contains 5.8S ribosomal RNA and internal transcribed spacer 2". The stretch from base 1 to 65 matches the Rfam family "5.8S ribosomal RNA", at positions 84 to 154 of the family's 154-position model. Lineage: Eukaryota; Fungi; Glomeromycota; Glomeromycetes; Glomerales; Glomeraceae. The record is from RNAcentral.
GUGAAUCAUCAAAUUUUUGAACGCAAAUUGCACUCUCUUCGGAGAGUAUGCCUGUUUGAGGGUCAGUAUUUAUAAAUAUCGGUGUGUUGCGUUUCUGUGACGCUUCGGUGUUUGGGUCAUCUUUAUAUCCUUUAGGUUUUAAGAGGCUUAAAAUUGACUUUUUUUGCGCAUUUUAGAUGUACAUAAUUUCUUUUUUUUAUUCGUUUGUCUUAAUGCUUAAAAUCCUAUUAGAUGCGAUCAUAUC